Molecule: ribosomal RNA, 295 nt
Filed under: Hydnum alboluteum
Lineage: Eukaryota; Fungi; Basidiomycota; Agaricomycetes; Cantharellales; Hydnaceae
Description: partial 28S ribosomal RNA
Rfam family: Eukaryotic large subunit ribosomal RNA
Source: RNAcentral
UUUUGACCUCGAAUCAGGUGGGACUACCCGCUGAACUUAAGCAUAUCAAUAAGCGGAGGAAAAGAAACUAACAAGGAUUCCCCUAGUAACGGCGAGUGAAGUGGGAUGAGCUCAAAUUUAAAAUCUGGUAGUCUUUGGCUGCCCGAGUUGUAAUCUAGAGAAGUGUUUUCUGUGCUGGACUGUGUUCAAGUUUCCUGGAUAUGGAACAUCAUAGAGGGUGAGAAUCCCGUCUUUGGCACAGACUCCCAGUGCUCUGUGAUGCACUCUCAACGAGUCGAGUUGUUUGGGAUUGCAG